AAGUCGUAACAAGGUUUCCGUAGGUGAACCUGCGGAAGGAUCAUUAACACAAAUUUUGAUUCAUCAAAAAAUGUAUUUUUGCUUUUCUUGUUUGCUUUCCGUAAAAAGAAGGUAGCAAGAAAGCAAAUUACUUCAACCCCCUAUUAUGACGAAAGCACAAUUGCACAUGGAUGUAACGGAAUUGGUCAAAUUCUGACUGAGACCGUUACACCUAAUACAUUUUACCCCUUUUACAACCAAAAAAGUCUGAAACAAAAUUAUUGCAUUCUAGGUUAAAAUCUAGAAUCUAAAUAACUAAGAAAACAACUCUUAGCAACGGAUAUCUAGGCUCUC
RNAcentral lists this unclassified non-coding RNA (333 nucleotides) under fungal sp. Its description in RNAcentral is "partial internal transcribed spacer region". The stretch from base 1 to 46 matches the Rfam family "Eukaryotic small subunit ribosomal RNA", at positions 1786 to 1831 of the family's 1831-position model. The record is from RNAcentral. Lineage: Eukaryota; Fungi.